Non-coding RNA from Theobroma cacao (cacao), 1061 nucleotides. NCBI's taxonomy places the organism in Eukaryota, Viridiplantae, Streptophyta, Magnoliopsida, Malvales, Malvaceae. The record is from RefSeq and is a predicted model, not a curated record.
UUGCAUAACAUUUGAUGACAAAAUUUAAAUGACACCUUGAAAUUAAUAAUGGUUUUUCCUGUGCUUAUUAGUGCAAAUUUUUACUAUUUACUUUAGUGGCCUUCAUACGUUAAACAAAAUGAAAGUCCUUCAUAUUUUAUUGGUGUUCCAUUGUUUUCAGUUGUCCUGUUUUACGAAUUUGAUGAGUGUCAUGGAAUUGCAGUGCCGUGGCUAGUGGCUGCAAACCCAGUAAAUUAUGGUCGACCAUGUCAGCUAUCAUGUGUAGAAGCUUUAUCUGCAGCUUUACUGAUAUGUGGGGAAGAGGAAACUGCGAAUUUGUUGUUAGGCAAGUUCAAAUGGGGUCAUGCCUUCCUGUCCCUCAACAGGGAACUUUUGAAGGCAUAUUCUGAAUGUGAAAAUAGUGGUGAUAUCAUUUCAGUCCAAAAUUCUUGGCUUUCCCAACAAAGUCAGGUUCCUAAGGUUCUGCCAGAUGCAGAAGACGUCAGUGAAGAUGAGGGUUCUUCCAACGAUUCUGAAGAUGGGCUUCCUCCUCUUGAAAGGAAUAUGAACCAUUUGAGUUUGCAGGAAAGUGAUGAUGAAAGUGAGUAGGUAGGAUCCUGCAAUAACUUUCAAUCACAUGGGGAGAUGCGAUGAAGCAAGGGGCAACAUCAAUGGAAUGUGGAGUCACAAGUAAGCACCAAGAGAAAAUGCCAUCUUGAUAACUUUAUUUUCAUGUAACACACUGCUUAUGCUUUAAAUAUUAGUAAGUUUGAGAUUUACUUUAGUCCAUUGUGCGAGGGAAAUGUACUCCAGGGCCCUUUUCUGAUAUGCUGAAGUUUUCUUACCCUGACUUCGAGUACUCUCGCGAUGGCACAGGGUUCUUGUCUUCCUCUAUUAGCUUGUUUUCCUUGCGAUGGCUAAUUGUGAAGGCACAACCACCAUUGUGGAUGUGCUUUCGCAGUUUGUUCUUAUUUCAUGCAUUAGAGUCUAGAGACAUAAUUACUUUGGGCCUCGGAAACUUUUGGUCCAUGUUCCAAAUUCGGUCAUGAAGCCUCCCAAAGAUCUUUGGGGACUUGCUUUUC